AGGUCUUCCUUGUUCAGCAGUUGAUUUUAAUUUGCUUAAUGAAAACUUUAUCCACAGAGCAGAGUGUUCUUCUAGGGCUCCUCAUUGACCAAAGCAAACUGAAAGCCAGAGAUCAAGGAUGCUACUAGGUGGAGCUCAUAUAGGUCAGCCGCUCAAAACACAGGGAAGGGUGAAGAAGAAUGGAUAAUAGAUCCUGGAUGUGAAAGGAAAAAAAAUUGUGACACUCCGUUUUUAAUAAGAAUGUAUCAGUUCAAUCACUAUCAGUUUGCAGAUGUACAUUAAAUAAUAACAAGCAAGUUACUUGGUUUGAAUUAGAUAUGAUUACCAUAUAGCAUACUUACUUUCAAAAACCAGAAAAUACGUAAAGAAAACUUACAGUAAUAUGAGUGUCAUAACAAGAGUGGAAAUGAAAAAUACUAUAAGUACUGUAAAUAGAGCAUAGAACAACUGAUGACAGAGUAAAUCAAUCUCUACAUUUAGCAAAAAUGUUUAUAACAAGAAGAAAGCAAAUGAAGAUUAUUUUGUUUUAAUCUUAAGAUGCAUUAGUUAGGAGUUUGAAAAGAAGGUAAUACUAAAAGUGAAAAAUAAAAUCUCUGU
Molecule: long non-coding RNA, 597 nt
Organism: Homo sapiens (human)
Lineage: Eukaryota; Metazoa; Chordata; Mammalia; Primates; Hominidae
Product: long intergenic non-protein coding RNA 430
Source: Ensembl